AUGGAGAGGGAUUCGAACCCCCGGUAUUCCUAUCAAUACUUCAGUUUUCAAGACCGACUCUUUCAACCGCUCAGACAUCCAUCCCUGCGCUCGCAACUCAUCAAGCGCAUGUGUGGCGGCAUGCAGAUCUUCGUGAAGGCUCCACCACUGUGCCAACACAGCUCCCUGCCUGCCUACAUGGCACCGCAUGCAUCCCUGGUCGAGGCGCGUGUCGAAGCGAGGAGGAGCGGCGACGGACGGGACGGGCCUCACCCACGCCCCCGACAAAGCAAGAGGACACCUAAGCGGUGCAUUAAAUGCACCUUAUCCUGUAAUACGAGGGAUAACCUCGUGCCACUGUAG
RNAcentral lists this transfer RNA (342 nucleotides) under Triticum aestivum (bread wheat). Its description in RNAcentral is "partial small subunit ribosomal RNA". The record is from RNAcentral. Lineage: Eukaryota; Viridiplantae; Streptophyta; Magnoliopsida; Poales; Poaceae.